GGUAAGGUGAUAUGAACCGUUAUAACCGGCGAUACCCGAAUGGGGAAACCCAGUGUGAUUCGUCACACUAUCAUUAACUGAAUCCAUAGGUUAAUGAGGCGAACCGGGGGAACUGAAACAUCUAAGUACCCCGAGGAAAAGAAAUCAACCGAGAUUCCCCCAGUAGCGGCGAGCGAACGGGGAGGAGCCCAGAGCCUGAAUCAGCAUGUGUGUUAGUGGAAGCGUCUGGAAAGGCGCGCGAUACAGGGUGACAGCCCCGUACACAAAAGCGCAUGUGCUGUGAGCUCGAUGAGUAGGGCGGGACACGUGGUAUCCUGUCUGAAUAUGGGGGGACCAUCCUCCAAGGCUAAAUACUCCUGACUGACCGAUAGUGAACCAGUACCGUGAGGGAAAGGCGAAAAGAACCCCGGCGAGGGGAGUGAAAAAGAACCUGAAACCGUGUACGUACAAGCAGUGGGAGCCCCACCACCAAAGCAUUUGCUGUACCGCGUUGACGGAGCGAAGCGACGUCAAACCGAUAAAACAGCAGUGUAAAGUGAGCCGCAGGGCGCUUUGCGCGACAGCGCAAAGGCAGGCGGUUUCGCGUAGCGAAAGCGAAUGCUUUGGGGUGGGGUGACUGCGUACCUUUUGUAUAAUGGGUCAGCGACUUAUAUUCUGUAGCAAGGUUAACCGAAUAGGGGAGCCGGAGGGAAACCGAGUCUUAAUUGGGCGUUAAGUUGCAGGGUAUAGACCCGAAACCCGGUGAUCUAGCCAUGGGCAGGUUGAAGGUUGGGUAACACUAACUGGAGGACCGAACCGACUAAUGUUGAAAAAUUAGCGGAUGACCUGUGGCUGGGGGUGAAAGGCCAAUCAAACCGGGAGAUAGCUGGUUCUCCCCGAAAGCUAUUUAGGUAGCGCCUCGUGAAUUCAUCUCCGGGGGUAGAGCACUGUUUCGGCUAGGGGGCCAUCCCGGCUUACCAACCCGAUGCAAACUGCGAAUACCGGAGAAUGUUAUCACGGGAGACACACGGCGGGUGCUAACGUCCGUCGUGAAGAGGGAAACAACCCAGACCGCCAGCUAAGGUCCCAAAGUCAUGGUUAAGUGGGAAACGAUGUGGGAAGGCCCAGACAGCCAGGAUGUUGGCUUAGAAGCAGCCAUCAUUUAAAGAAAGCGUAAUAGCUCACUGGUCGAGUCGGCCUGCGCGGAAGAUGUAACGGGGCUAAACCAUGCACCGAAGCUGCGGCAGCGACACUGUGUGUUGUUGGGUAGGGGAGCGUUCUGUAAGCCUGUGAAGGUGUGUCGUGAGGCAUGCUGGAGGUAUCAGAAGUGCGAAUGCUGACAUAAGUAACGAUAAAGCGGGUGAAAAGCCCGCUCGCCGGAAGACCAAGGGUUCCUGUCCAACGUUAAUCGGGGCAGGGUGAGUCGACCCCUAAGGCGAGGCCGAAAGGCGUAGUCGAUGGGAAACGGGUUAAUAUUCCCGUACUUGGUGUUACUGCGAAGGGGGGACGGAGAAGGCUAUGUUGGCCGGGCGACGGUUGUCCCGGUUUAAGCGUGUAGGUGUGUGUUCCAGGUAAAUCCGGUUCACUUUAACACUGAGGCGUGACGACGAGGCACUACGGUGCUGAAGCAACAAAUGCCCUGCUUCCAGGAAAAGCCUCUAAGCAUCAGGUAACAUCAAAUCGUACCCCAAACCGACACAGGUGGUCAGGUAGAGAAUACCAAGGCGCUUGAGAGAACUCGGGUGAAGGAACUAGGCAAAAUGGUGCCGUAACUUCGGGAGAAGGCACGCUGACACGUAGGUGAAGUGAUUUACUCAUGGAGCUGAAGUCAGUCGAAGAUACCAGCUGGCUGCAACUGUUUAUUAAAAACACAGCACUGUGCAAACACGAAAGUGGACGUAUACGGUGUGACGCCUGCCCGGUGCCGGAAGGUUAAUUGAUGGGGUCAGCGCAAGCGAAGCUCCUGAUCGAAGCCCCGGUAAACGGCGGCCGUAACUAUAACGGUCCUAAGGUAGCGAAAUUCCUUGUCGGGUAAGUUCCGACCUGCACGAAUGGCGUAAUGAUGGCCAGGCUGUCUCCACCCGAGACUCAGUGAAAUUGAACUCGCUGUGAAGAUGCAGUGUACCCGCGGCAAGACGGAAAGACCCCGUGAACCUUUACUAUAGCUUGACACUGAACAUUGAGCCUUGAUGUGUAGGAUAGGUGGGAGGCUUUGAAGUGUGGACGCCAGUCUGCAUGGAGCCGACCUUGAAAUACCACCCUUUAAUGUUUGAUGUUCUAACGUGGACCCGUUACCCGGGUUGCGGACAGUGUCUGGUGGGUAGUUUGACUGGGGCGGUCUCCUCCUAAAGAGUAACGGAGGAGCACGAAGGUUGGCUAAUCCUGGUCGGACAUCAGGAGGUUAGUGCAAUGGCAUAAGCCAGCUUGACUGCGAGCGUGACGGCGCGAGCAGGUGCGAAAGCAGGUCAUAGUGAUCCGGUGGUUCUGAAUGGAAGGGCCAUCGCUCAACGGAUAAAAGGUACUCCGGGGAUAACAGGCUGAUACCGCCCAAGAGUUCAUAUCGACGGCGGUGUUUGGCACCUCGAUGUCGGCUCAUCACAUCCUGGGGCUGAAGUAGGUCCCAAGGGUAUGGCUGUUCGCCAUUUAAAGUGGUACGCGAGCUGGGUUUAGAACGUCGUGAGACAGUUCGGUCCCUAUCUGCCGUGGGCGCUGGAGAACUGAGGGGGGCUGCUCCUAGUACGAGAGGACCGGAGUGGACGCAUCACUGGUGUUCGGGUUGUCAUGCCAAUGGCACUGCCCGGUAGCUAAAUGCGGAAGAGAUAAGUGCUGAAAGCAUCUAAGCACGAAACUUGCCCCGAG
RNAcentral lists this ribosomal RNA (2838 nucleotides) under Salmonella enterica subsp. enterica serovar Enteritidis. Its description in RNAcentral is "partial 23S ribosomal RNA". It matches the Rfam family "Bacterial large subunit ribosomal RNA". Lineage: Bacteria; Pseudomonadati; Pseudomonadota; Gammaproteobacteria; Enterobacterales; Enterobacteriaceae. The record is from RNAcentral.